UGGGGAAUAUUGGACAAUGGGCGAAAGCCUGAUCCAGCAAUACCGCGUGUGUGAAGAAGGCCUUCGGGUUGUAAAGCACUUUAAGUUGGGAAGAAAAAACUUUACCUAAUACGUGAAGUCUUGACGUUACCGACAGAAUAAGCACCGGCUAACUCUGUGCCAGCAGCCGCGGUAAUACAGAGGGUGCUAGGGUUAAUCGGAUUUACUGGGCGUAAAGCGUGCGUAGGUGGUUUGAUAAGUCGGUUGUGAAAGCCCCGGGCUCAACCUGGGAAUUGCGGCCGAUACUGUCAGACUCGAAAACGGUAGAGGGAGGUGGAACUCCAGGUGUAGCGGUGAAAUGCGUAGAUAUCUGGAAGAACAUCGAUGGCGAAGGCAGCCUCCUGGGCCUGUUUUGACACUGAGGCACGAAAGCGUGGGUAGCAAACA
This 426-nucleotide ribosomal RNA is filed under the name uncultured bacterium. RNAcentral's name for it is "partial 16S ribosomal RNA". It matches the Rfam family "Bacterial small subunit ribosomal RNA", at positions 355 to 774 of the family's 1533-position model. The record is from RNAcentral.